AGAGUUUGAUCAUGGCUCAGAAUCAACGCUGGCGGCGCGCCUAACACAUGCAAGUCGAACGAGAAAGUGGAGCAAUCCAUGAGUAAAGUGGCGUACGGGUGAGUAACACGUGGAUCAUCUGCCCUUUAGUGGGGAAUACCGUUGGGAAACCGACGACAAUACCGCAUAAGCUCGAGAGAGGAAAGCAGCAAUGCGCUGAAGGAGGAGUCCGCGGCCGAUUAGCUUGUUGGUAGGGUAAUGGCCUACCAAGGCUGUGAUCGGUAGCCGGCCUGAGAGGGCACACGGCCACACUGGCACUGAAACACGGGCCAGACUCCUACGGGAGGCAGCAGUGGGGAAUCUUGCACAAUGGGGGAAACCCUGAUGCAGCGACGCCGCGUGAGCGAUGAAGCCCUUCGGGGUGUAAAGCUCUUUCGGCAGGGAAGAUAAUGACGGUACCUGCAGAAGCAGCUGCGGCUAACUACGUGCCAGCAGCCGCGGUAAUACGUAGGCAGCAAGCGUUGUUCGGAGUUACUGGGCGUAAAGGGUGCGUAGGCGGCUCUAUAAGUAUGGUGUGAAAUCUCCCGGCUUAACUGGGAGGGUGCGCUAUAGACUGUGGGGCUAGAGUGUGGGAGAGGAAAGUGGAAUUCCUGGUGUAGCGGUGAAAUGCGUAGAUAUCAGGAGGAACACCGGUGGUGUAAACGGCUUUCUGGACCAUAACUGACGCUGAGGCACGAAAGCGUGGGUAGCAAACAGGAUUAGAUACCCUAGUAGUCC
This 756-nucleotide ribosomal RNA is filed under the name uncultured bacterium. RNAcentral's name for it is "bacterial SSU rRNA". It matches the Rfam family "Bacterial small subunit ribosomal RNA", at positions 8 to 796 of the family's 1533-position model. The record is from RNAcentral.